This 465-nucleotide ribosomal RNA is filed under the name uncultured bacterium. Its description in RNAcentral is "partial 16S ribosomal RNA". It matches the Rfam family "Bacterial small subunit ribosomal RNA", at positions 28 to 507 of the family's 1533-position model. The record is from RNAcentral.
GACGAACGCUGGCGGCGUGCUUAACACAUGCAAGUCGAACGGAAAGGCCCUGCUUGCAGGGUACUCGAGUGGCGAACGGGUGAGUAACACGUGGGUGAUCUGCCCUUCACUUCGGGAUAAGCCUGGGAAACUGGGUCUAAUACCGGAUAGGAGCCAUUUUUAGUGUGAUGGUUGGAAAGUUUUUUCGGUGUAGGAUGAGCUCGCUGCCUAUCAGCUUGUUGGUGGGGUAAUGGCCUACCAAGGCGGCGACGGGUAGCCGGCCUGAGAGGGUGGACGGCCACAUUGGGACUGAGAUACGGCCCAGACUCCUACGGGAGGAAUAAGUGGGGAAUAUUGCACAAUGGGCGCAAGCCUGAUGCAGCGACGCCGCGUGGGGGAUGACGGCCUUCGGGUUGUAAACUCCUUUCGCUAGGGACGAAGCUUUUUGUGACGGUACCUAGAUAAGAAGCACCGGCUAACUACGUG